AUUGAACGCUGGCGGAAUGCUUUACACAUGCAAGUCGAACGGCAGCACGGGGGCAACCCUGGUGGCGAGUGGCGAACGGGUGAGUAAUGUAUCGGAACGUGCCCAGUCGUGGGGGAUAACGUAGUGAAAAUUACGCUAAUACCGCAUACGAUCUAUGGAUGAAAGCGGGGGAUCGCAAGACCUCGCGCGAUUGGAGCGGCCGAUAUCAGAUUAGGUAGUUGGUGGGGUAAAGGCUCACCAAGCCGACGAUCUGUAGCUGGUCUGAGAGGACGACCAGCCACACUGGAACUGAGACACGGUCCAGACUCCUACGGGAGGCAGCAGUGGGGAAUUUUGGGCAAUGGGCGAAAGCCUGAUCCAGCCAUUCCGCGUGCAGGAUGAAGGCCUUCGGGUUGUAAACUGCUUUUGUACGGAACGAAACGGCGAGCUCUAAUACAGUUUGCUAAUGACGGUACCGUAAGAAUAAGCACCGGCUAACUACGUGCCAGCAGCCGCCGUAA
Molecule: ribosomal RNA, 500 nt
Filed under: uncultured bacterium
Lineage: Bacteria
Description: partial 16S ribosomal RNA
Rfam family: Bacterial small subunit ribosomal RNA
Source: RNAcentral